AAAGUACUCCCUCCGUCCAACAAAAGAUAUCUCAAGUUUGUCAAAAUUUGGAUGUAUCUAGACAUGACUUAAUGUAUAGAUGCAUUCAAAUUUAGUCAAAGUUGAGACAUCUUUUGUUCGAUGAAGAAAAUAUGUA
This is a non-coding RNA of Brachypodium distachyon (stiff brome), 136 nucleotides long. NCBI's taxonomy places the organism in Eukaryota, Viridiplantae, Streptophyta, Magnoliopsida, Poales, Poaceae. The record is from Rfam.